Molecule: ribosomal RNA, 279 nt
Filed under: uncultured bacterium
Lineage: Bacteria
Description: partial 16S ribosomal RNA
Rfam family: Bacterial small subunit ribosomal RNA
Source: RNAcentral
UGCCAGCAGCCGCGGUAAUACGGAGGGUGCAAGCGUUAAUCGGAUUCAUUGGGCGUAAAGGGCGCGUAGGCUGAAAAGCCAGUCGGGCGUGAAAUUCCGGGGCUCAACCCCGGAGCUGCACUCGAUACUACUUUUCUAGAGGAUAGGCGGAGAAAACGGAAUUCCACGUGUAGCGGUGAAAUGCGUAGAUAUGUGGAAGAACACCCGUGGCGAAGGCGGUUUUCUAGCUUAUUCCUGACGCUGAGGCGCGAAAGCAAGGGGAGCGAACAGGAUUAGAUA